This is a non-coding RNA of Oryctolagus cuniculus (rabbit), 649 nucleotides long. NCBI's taxonomy places the organism in Eukaryota, Metazoa, Chordata, Mammalia, Lagomorpha, Leporidae. The record is from RefSeq and is a predicted model, not a curated record.
GAAUGCGGGCAUGGCAUAGAUUCUUCCCCUCUGCCCUCUCGAGAAGACAACUCUGCCUGCAUCUUGACUUUGGAUUUCCAGUCUACAGAACUGACACAAUUAGUUCCAGUUCCUGAAGCUACCCGCUUGGUGGCACUUUGUUAUGGCAGCCCUAGGACCUACCAGAGCACUGACACUGGAUCUUCAGAGUAGCCUGAAAACAGCAUGGCAGCUAGUAGAAACUUGUGAAUGAAUAAGUAAAUCCAUGAAUGAGGAACCUCAGGCUCUGGUUCACGCAAGUCACAGAACCUUUAGUCAGGGGUGUGACCCAGGCUGGGGGUGAGUUCAGAGCUGAGCAUGUGAUUCAAUCCAAGUCAUUCAUGUGCCCAUCAAAACCUUUGUGUUGGAACUGGCAAGAAGCCCUUCUUGGAGUGCAGCAUCAGCACCUUCUAGAUAGACAAGGAUCUGGAGAUGUCAACACAUUGCCUAAUGGCUUUGUUUGGCAAAUGGCUCAGCAGAAAGGGGCACAGAAUUUACCAUUCCUUUCGGUCUCUCAAGGUGUUCCUAUGAACUUUUUAAUGACCCAGUGUAAUGGACUCUUGCCUAGCUUCCAUGGAAUGUGAAUGAAUUGCUUUAAUAAAGAAAUCCUGUUGGUCUGGUGCGUGCGAUC